GGUGACGGUUGCAGGGGGGCGCGGGCCCCCCGUGUCUAGCUUGUGCCCCUCUUGGGUGAUGUACCUAAAAACCAACAGAGACAAACAGGCUGGUUCCAUGGGAAGAUCUCAGGUCCCGAGGCGGUGUCCAAGCUGCGGCCUGUAGAGGAUGGCCUGUUCCUGGUGCGGGAGUCCAUCCGCCACCCUGGUGAUUAUGUGCUCUGUGUCGGCUACUCCAGCCAGGUCAUCCACUACCGAGUCAUGUACCAGCACAGCAAACUGACCAUCGACAACACCCAGUACUUCUACAACCUCAUAGACAUGAUAGAGGACCUGAGCCCUAGGACCAUGCCCCAGGACUACCUGACAUGAUGACUCCUUGCUGUCCCCAGUCCACCUGGCCAUGCUGCUGCUCCAGUUUCAACUGGCCUGGGCCCUAGGACCAUGUCCCAGGACUACCUGACAUGAUGACUCCUUGCUGUCCCCAGUCCACCUGGCCAUGCUGCUGCUCCAGUUUCAACUGUUCUGCCUUACUAUUAUUCAACCAUGCUGGUCAUUUAUGAACAUUUGAACAUCUUGGCCACGUUCUGUUAUAAUCUCCACCCGGCACAGCCAGAAGAGGACUGGCCACCCCACAUAUGCUCUCUCUAAUUCUCUCUUUCUUUCUCUCUCUCUCGGAGGACCUGAGCCCUAGGACCGUGCCCCAGGACUACCUGACAUGAUGACUCCUUGCUGUCCCCAGUCCACCUGACUGUGCUGCUGCUCCAGUUUCAACUGUUCUGCCUUAUUAUUAUUCGACCAUGCUGGUCAUUUAUGAACAUUUGAACAUCUUGGUCAUGUUCUGUUAUAAUCUCUACCCGGCACAGCCAGAAGAGGACUGGCCACCCCACAUAGCCUGGUUCCUCUCUAGGUUUCUUCCUAGGUUUUGGCCUUUCUAGGGAGUUUUUCCUAGCCACCGUGCUUUUACACCUGCAUUGUUUGCUGUUUGGGGUUUUAGGCUGGGUUUCUGUACAGCACUUUGAGAUAUCAGCUGAUGUACGAAGGGCUAUAUAAAUAAAUUUGAUUUGAUUUGAUUUGAUUUAGGAAUGCAGUGAAGUAAAAGUUGUCAAAAAUAUGAAUAGUAAAGUACAGAUAACCUAAAAAACUACUUAAGUAGUGCUUUAAAUUAUUUUUACUUAAAUACUUUACACAACUGAAAAGAUAGCUACAACAAUCUCCUUGUUCACCUGAGCCUUCCUGACCUCUGCUUCUAAGCAGAGCACUGGGUCCAUAGUUCCCCUACCCUUCCUGAACCCACUCUGACGGGGCAAUACUAACCACUGCUCUCCAGGAAGUAAGUUAGCCUUUCCGAAAUCAAACACUCCAUAAUCUUAUAUACAGUACAUGUGUUGUUAAAGCUAUUGGCCGAUAGCUUGUUGGCCUCAUUGGGUCCUUCCCUGGCUUCCGGAUUGGAACCACUACUGCCUCCUUCCAGCUGCCUGGUAGUUUCCCCUCCUAUCACACUCUGUUGUACAACACAAAUACCUUAUCCGGUGCCUCAUCCCUAAGAUGGGCCAACAUAACAUAGGACACCUCAUCUUUCCCAGGUGAAGUUAACCCAGCCUUACAUAUUGCCCUUUUCAUCUCUGCCAUGGUAAAUGGUGCAUUCAAUGCAUAAUUUACAUCCUCCCUACUAUCCAGCACUCCAGGGUUCUCCUCUCUCGUUCUCUCUCUCUCCCUCCCUCCUCUGACAAAUUUGCCAAGCUGUGCAUUUGGACAAACGCUUUGGCAAUUAUCUCGGCCUUCUCCUCGUCUGUUACUGCCAUAUCAUCUCCACUCGUCAGCAAUGGAUAAUCCCACCACCUUGUGACUCCGCUCAUCCUCUUAAUCAUCUCCCACACAUGUCGCUCUUCCAACAGUGUCACAGAACCGACGCCAAUAUGACCUCUUUGCCUGACAGAUAACUCUCCUCACCAGGGCGUGCUUAUACUGAAUCAGAUGUUGGUAGUUAUGCAUCCUUUUCAGUACUCUAAAUGCCCUGUUUCUACUCCACACCAUUGUUCCACACUUCUCCAUCCACCAUGGGACUGCUUUCCUCCUCCACCUCCCUGAACUCUUAGGUAUAGCCUCAGUAGCUGCCCCCACUAAAGCUGCUCUCACCCAGUUAUUCAUACUAUCCACAUCCCCGCUCUUAUCCACCCAAGUCAUCAGCUGCUCACUCAGCUCCUGAAACGGAUCCCACUUCCAAACAUUCACCUGCCUACUCCAUUCACUAACACCACCUCCCUCCGGCCUACUGCGCAUUCUAUGGGGUAAUGAUCCCUCCCUACUGUUGACUCCUCCCAUACCUCCCACUUACAGAUUCCUGCCAAUCCACUAGAUAACAGUGAGGUCCAUGGCAGACUCUUUCUCUGUGGCUACAUCAAUCCUGGUCCCUCAGCAAUCAUUCAGGCACACCAGAUAUUUCAUUUCUAUCAGAUUUUCCAUCACUUGGCCAUCCAGUAAUACAUGACUUCACCCUCGGCUGAUGAGGUGAUCUCAAACCUCUUCCCAUGUCAACUAUCAUAAACUGAUGUCUCCCAGCCGCUUUCACUAUGAGCGGAAUCCUCUGUUUUAGACACUACUUUAGCAGUGCUAUUGAUAGCUCUUGCUAUGAAUGUCACCAGCUUUCUCUUAUCUUCAUUGCCUCACACCCAUCAUAUGUCACACUAUGAGCACCCCCACAGCUGCAGCACUUUGGUUGUACACCAUCCACACACUUCCCAUACUCAUCCUCCCCUCCACACCUAGUUUUCUCUUUACAUGCUGUUGCCACAUGCCCAAACCUCUGGCAGUUAUAACAUCUUAAAGGCUUCGGGACAUAAACACUCACAUAAUAGCUCAUAUAUCCUAUGGUUACUAUAUUUGGCAGUACCCGGUCCUUGAAGUGUAACAGAAUAGAUUGGCUAUCUACACUAACAUCACCCCUUGUUGCUUUGAACGUUUACAAUGCCUUCUCAAGUUGACGCUUACCUCUUUAGUGCCAAGGCACCCCUGUCAUCACCCCUUUAAUCCACUGAUUCCCUGCUUGGUCAGGCCAGCUGCUCGACACCACCUUACACUUCCCUAUUUACUUCACUCAGAGCUUUUUCCCCUCUGCGCCAUGUCCUUACAGAAAUCCAACAAGCUCCCAUCUCUUAACACUUUAGCAUUGACAACUUCUCCGAUCAACUCUUGUAUCACAACCUUCACAGAUUCAUCACCCCAACUCUCCCUUCCUCCCUAAACUUCAGAAUCACGUUAUGCUCCUCCAUGCUGCCCUCGCAACCUCUCUCUACCCCGAAACUGCUGCUAGAGUUGGAAACUAUGUUCUAGCACCACCUUUUCCAAGACAAAAUAUUUCAUUCAUACAUAAGACAUAAUUUGGUCCAUAUUGUUUUCUAUUACAAAUUUAAAUUACCUUGGAGAAUACACAGUACUUACUUAUGCAUGUGGUGGUAUAAGAGACCAGGGCGCAUAUACACAAAGUGUUUCGGAAUAGGAAUGCUGAUUAAGGAUCUGUACAUAUAAUCAUAUGCAUUAUGAUCUAAAGGCCAAAACUGAUCUGAGAUCAGCACACCUACUCAAACAAUUUGGGGCUAUAAUAAUAAUUGUAGGAUAUCCAUGCCUCUACUUGACAAAUAGAUGGCUCUGCAGUUUGGCCUGUGGAAAAUGCCAUCUUUACAGCAAUUAACUACACACAGCCAACUCCAACAAUCAAUAUUAUGGUGUAUAAAUGAAUGAAUUUCCAAAUACAAUGAAAGGUAACUCACUUUAAUCAAAUACACAUGAUUACAACAGCAUUCCUGUGUAAUCUAGUAUAAUUCAGCAUAUGGAACAAAUGUAUUCACAAAGGGUGUGUUCGUAAAGUCACUCUGGAGUGCCGGAGUGCACUCUGUGCAUUUGUAAAUUCAGAACUUUGAUUGUAUGUUCAUGAAUUCAGAGCAUACACUGGAAGCUCUGGCUGAGGAGUAGGAUUGAUUUGAGUGUUCUGACCUCACACAGCAGUCAAGCACCCAAGCUAACGUUGGCUAGCUACUUCCAGACAAAUGAGAGAACACCUCACUGAUCAUUUUACUCUCCCUAGCAGAGCUGGUUAGGCUGUUUUCAUGUUAUCCAGAGCAUUGGUGAGUAACUGUGCUGCUGGCAACAAACUACCAUAUUCAACAGGUGCUGAGCAUGAUCAAAUGCAUCAGUUAUUCUGCGCUCUGGCACACAGAUGAGUGCUCUUAAAUCUGAGGAGAUAGCCAGAGUGAAUUUAAGAACUGACCCAAAUGACAUAUUAACGAACAAAUGACAGCAUGUGUCACAAUGGGCAUAAAAGGAAUUUCUAAAGCAUAUUCUAAAAUAAAAGUGAUCCAGUAGUCCUCUUUAUUUGGUCCAGCUGACUUUAGGAAUAUCGUAAUGUUCUGUCAGGCUGUCCAGGUGACGGUUGAAA
Long non-coding RNA from Oncorhynchus nerka (sockeye salmon), 4414 nucleotides. RefSeq lists it as uncharacterized. The transcript is spliced from 3 exons. NCBI's taxonomy places the organism in Eukaryota, Metazoa, Chordata, Actinopteri, Salmoniformes, Salmonidae. The record is from RefSeq and is a predicted model, not a curated record.